RNAcentral lists this ribosomal RNA (492 nucleotides) under Japetella diaphana. RNAcentral describes it as "partial 16S ribosomal RNA". It matches the Rfam family "Bacterial large subunit ribosomal RNA", at positions 1817 to 2599 of the family's 2925-position model. The record is from RNAcentral. Lineage: Eukaryota; Metazoa; Mollusca; Cephalopoda; Octopoda; Bolitaenidae.
KUCUCUUUGAUUUUGUUUUAUAAAGAGUUGGGCCUGCUCAGUGAUAUUUUUUAACAGCUGCGGUGUUAUAACUGUACUAAGGUAGCAUAAUAAUUUGCCUUAUAAAUUAGGGCUAGAAUGAAUGGUUUGACGAGAGUUAUACUGUCUCUAUUUUAAUUGUUAGAAGUUAAUUUUUAUAGUGAAAAAGCUUGGAUGGUUUAAAGGGACGAGAAGACCCUGUUGAGCUUAAUAUAUAUAUAUAUAUAUAUAUAUAUAUAUUGGUUGGGGUGUACAAGGAAUAAAAUUUAAAUAGUUUACCUUCCUUAAAAAUUUUUUUUGUUAGGAUAAUAAACCAAUUUAUUGCUUUAAUGAUAAGUUACCAUAGGGAUAACAGCGYAAUUUUUUUAGAGAGUUCUUAUUGAAAAAAAAGAUUGCGACCUCGAUGUUGGAUUAAAAUAACCAUUAGGUGUAGAUGCUUUAUUUGGUGAAUCUGUUCGAUUUUUAAAAUUUUAC